AGGAGGAACAACCCCAGUGGCGGGGCCAGCUCUGCAGCCCUGGAGUCAGCUCCCGCAGUAACCAUGGAGCUCUCCGUCUGCAGGGCCUGGAUGCUACGGGGCGAG
Molecule: non-coding RNA, 105 nt
Organism: Canis lupus familiaris (dog)
Lineage: Eukaryota; Metazoa; Chordata; Mammalia; Carnivora; Canidae
Source: Rfam